GGUUAAGCGACUAAGCGUACACGGUGGAUGCCCUGGCAGUCAGAGGCGAUGAAGGGCGUGCUAAUCUGCGAUAAGCGCCGGUAAGGUGAUAUGAACCGUUAUAACCGGCGAUACCCGAAUGGGGAAACCCAGUGUGAUUCGUCACACUAUCAUUAACUGAAUCCAUAGGUUAAUGAGGCGAACCGGGGGAACUGAAACAUCUAAGUACCCCGAGGAAAAGAAAUCAACCGAGAUUCCCCCAGUAGCGGCGAGCGAACGGGGAGGAGCCCAGAGCCUGAAUCAGCAUGUGUGUUAGUGGAAGCGUCUGGAAAGGCGCGCGAUACAGGGUGACAGCCCCGUACACAAAAGCGCAUGUGCUGUGAGCUCGAUGAGUAGGGCGGGACACGUGGUAUCCUGUCUGAAUAUGGGGGGACCAUCCUCCAAGGCUAAAUACUCCUGACUGACCGAUAGUGAACCAGUACCGUGAGGGAAAGGCGAAAAG
Molecule: ribosomal RNA, 481 nt
Filed under: Salmonella enterica subsp. enterica
Lineage: Bacteria; Pseudomonadati; Pseudomonadota; Gammaproteobacteria; Enterobacterales; Enterobacteriaceae
Also listed under: 1 other name
Description: partial 23S ribosomal RNA
Rfam family: Bacterial large subunit ribosomal RNA
Source: RNAcentral